Hordeum vulgare subsp. vulgare (domesticated barley) is the source of this 265-nucleotide long non-coding RNA. RefSeq lists it as uncharacterized. The transcript has 3 exons. Lineage: Eukaryota; Viridiplantae; Streptophyta; Magnoliopsida; Poales; Poaceae. The record is from RefSeq and is a predicted model, not a curated record.
CCUUAAUCAAGAUGAAAAUGUGGAUCCCCUUACGAUAUCAGGAGGAGCUGUCUUGAAUAAUAGCAAAGAAACAAGACAAAUACCUCCAAUUGUCCGCAAAAACACCUUGACUGAAGAACAAAGGGAACAUAUAAACGCAAAGAGGCGGGCUUCUUAUCGGAAGAAAAAAGAUAUGCUUAACCCAGACGAGAAGACAACUCACCAAACGACGACAAGGCUCUUUAAUGAUAUCACGAAUGUUCAUCAACCUUGCCAUGUGAUACGA